UCCCUAUGGGGUGCAGCAGGCGCGAAAACUCCACAAUGUACGGAAGUACGAUGGGGUUAUCUCGAGUGCAGUCCGAUAAGGGCUGCUUUUCCAUAGAGUAAUAUCCUGUGGGAAUAAGAGGGGGGCAAGACUGGUGUCAGCCGCCGCGGUAACACCAGCCCCUCGAGUGGUGGGGACUAUUAUUUGGCCUAAAGCGUCCGUAGCUGGCUGUAUCCGUCCCCCGUUAAAUCCAGCGUCCUAAGCGUUGGACCGCGGGUGAUACCAUACAGCUAGAGGGUGGGAUAGGUGGGCGGUAUUUCUGGGGUAGGGGCGAAAUCCUUUGAUCCCAGGAGGACCACCAGUGGCGAAGGCUGCCCACUAGAACACGCCUGACGGUCAGGGACGAAAGCUGGGGCAGCGAACCGGAUUAGAUACCCGGGUAGUCCCAGCUGUAAACGAUGCUAGCUAGGUGUUGGGUCGGCCACGCGCCGCCCCAGUGCCGCAGGGAAGCCGUUAAGCUAGCCGCCUGGGGAGUACGGCCGCAAGGCUGAAACUUAAAGGAAUUGGCGGGGGAGCACCACCAGGCGUGAAGCCUGCGGUUUAAUUGGAGUCAACGCCGGAAAUCUUACCAGGAUCGACAGCAGAGUGAAGGCCAGAUUGAAGGUCUUGCUAGACGAGCUGAGAAGAGGUGCAUGGCCA
Molecule: ribosomal RNA, 678 nt
Filed under: uncultured archaeon
Lineage: Archaea
Description: bacterial SSU rRNA
Rfam family: Archaeal small subunit ribosomal RNA
Source: RNAcentral